CGCGACUCCGGCGGCAGCCAGUUCUUCCUCGUCUACCAGGACAGCCAGCUGCCGCCCGACUACACCCCGUUCGGC
Molecule: transfer RNA, 75 nt
Filed under: Streptomyces sp. PVA_94-07
Lineage: Bacteria; Bacillati; Actinomycetota; Actinomycetes; Kitasatosporales; Streptomycetaceae
Source: RNAcentral